AAUUAAAUCACAACUCAGAAAUCACAACUGAAGGUAAUCAAUUCAUAUUACAAAUAUAUUUAUGGCUUUGAAUUAACCUCUAGCCAAACUAAAAUUAGUUACACAUUAUUAUCAAAUUAAACCAAAAGUAAAACAUAAGUUGGAAAGAUUAAACCGAAAGAGGAUCUGCUGCGUUCGUGCCCACUUCUCUCUCCCCCUGCCCGCGUCAGUCUUCCUUGCGUCAGUCUCAGCUGCAAGGGCAGCUUCCCCCGUGCUCACCUCUCUCCAUACUCACCAUGCCGUGCUCACCUUUGGACUGCUUCUUUCCCCGCGCCCCCUUAUUUCUCCUGCUCUGUCCGCGUGUUCUGCUGCAAGGCAGCUUUGUUUCCCACGUGACCCUCCUAUCUCCCUGCACGUUCCUGUCUUCCCCUUCUCACUGACUUCUUGUUUCCCGUGUGCUGACCUUCACAAGCUGCCCAAAGGCAGCCUUCUUUCCUUCCUGCGUCUCUGCGAGCUGCCCAAAGGGCAGCCCCUUUCUCCCGCUCCCAGACCCCCCUCCUUCACUUCCUGCACGCUAGUCCCUCUUAUUCCCUCUUUCUUUUUCUUUUAUCUCCACUUCUCUUAUUUUCAUUUAUUCUUUCUGGCAGUCACGCCAACCUCCUCACUUCUAUUAUUUUAUUUCCCACUCCUCUAUGUCUGCCAUGUUGCUUUCUGCCUUUACUGUCUUUCCGCCACGUCUCUUGCCUACUCUCCUGCCUUUUCUUCGCACCAAUCCUUCUCUUUUCUUCUACCCGCAAGUGGCUUCCAGGUGCUGCUUCUUAUUUCUUUUUUUUCUUUUUCCGCUGCAAGGUGCUCCUCUCACCUACCACCUGCAAUGUGGCUUAUAUUAUUUUUCUUUCUUCCACUAUCACGCUGCAUUCCACUAGAUUCAACAGAGGCACGCUAACAUUGGGUAGAGUCCACAUGUCUGCAAGUUCUUUGUGCAAAUAGAAACUGGAAACUGUGGAUAAGAGUGCUAGCACGUAUCAAAUAUAGAGUCUUGAAAUAUUAAUUUCGUUAGAUUACUACUUCACGAUUUACUGACGAUAAGGAUUGAUUUUUAUUUUCCAUAUUCACACCAGAAUUUGAUAACUUUUUCUCCAAAGGCUGCCCACUAAUUAAAGUUUUCAAGUAAACAAUUCGUGAUAAAAUCAAACUCCACAUACUAAAAUUAUAAGCAUGAAUAAGCAUUGAGUUUGGCAUGAUUAAAGACCAAGAAUAACAAAUCCUAUAAACACAAAAAUAAUGUAAAUAGCUCAAAAAUAUAAGGAACUAACUAAGAAAAGACGAGUGAAUUUGAAGUAAAAAUAUAUAUAAAUAUGAUCCGAUCAAAUACCCCCAUACUUAGCUUUUGCUAGUCCUCGAGCAAAACAAAGAAAACAAGUACUAACAUGAAAAACAUUAGUUUCCCCCUAUGUGACCCUCAUAGAAUUUCAUUCGAGAAAACAAAUCAUCAAGAACCAUAGCUAGCACCAAACAAAUUAAUCCAAGUUCAUCUUCCUUAUUCAAAUAUUAGCAGUAAUCUUUGAAUCAUCCUUGAAGUGUAGUGUGUGAGAUAGCCAUGCUAAUGCAAUUUCAAGUUUUUAUUUUUAAAAUCAUCAUAUGCAAACUAGUAACCUUGUCACGGGAUAUACACUCAAUCACAUAUGUGUUUAGUUUUAAUGUGUUUCGCUCAAAUAAAGAAUCAAAUGUGAAAGUUCUACCAUAAGCUUGCAUAAAGAUCACUUCUCCACAGUCAUAAUUGCAAAACUUAAAUCAAGAGGACUUUUAUUGGAUAUAAUGAGGUUUAGGGAUAGGGUUAUUGAAACGAAAGAAUAGGAAAACACAAGUUCCAAGCUACAUUGCAAGCAAUUCUUUUGUUUAGAUUUAUAAGAACUCACGCUCUCCAACGAUUCUUCUGAAACCUCCAAUCACACCCUUAAACUGAAACUUUAAAAACAUUUUUUUUUUCUUUUCUUCGUAUACAAUCUUUCUUCUUUUUUUUUUUUUUUUUUAAUACAAACAUGAAAUACCCCCACACUUAUUCUUUUGCCCAACACCCUCAAAGUACUUCACAAACAUUUCUCAUAAGACAAUCUCACAUUGCUCACUAGCUUGCUUGGAAAGGGUAAGGAAAAAUGUUUCAGGUAUAAGGGUAGACAUAUCUGGUGAUAAGAAAUAAAAAGGCUCAACAUACACGGCUCAAAUUGGCAAUCUAAUGAUAUCAUUUUUUUCUUUGGGAUACAUGGUUAUUUGGAUCAUGGUGGUAAACCUAAUGCCUCUAUCAUUUCCAAGUUCAUGCAAUCAAUGACAAACAUUUCGAAAGAUCGUUA
This 2330-nucleotide long non-coding RNA is filed under the name Malus domestica (apple). Its description in RNAcentral is "long non-coding RNA (MDOM_LNC016989)". Lineage: Eukaryota; Viridiplantae; Streptophyta; Magnoliopsida; Rosales; Rosaceae. The record is from RNAcentral.